GACGAACGCUGGCGGCGUGCUUAACACAUGCAAGUCGAACGGAAAGGCCCUGCUUUUGUGGGGUGCUCGAGUGGCGAACGGGUGAGUAACACGUGAGUAACCUGCCCUUGACUUUGGGAUAACUUCAGGAAACUGGGGCUAAUACCGGAUAGGAGCUCCUGCUGCAUGGUGGGGGUUGGAAAGUUUCGGCGGUUGGGGAUGGACUCGCGGCUUAUCAGCUUGUUGGUGGGGUAGUGGCUUACCAAGGCUUUGACGGGUAGCCGGCCUGAGAGGGUGACCGGCCACAAUGGGACUGAGAUACGGCCCAGACUGCUACGGGAGGCAGCAGUGGGGAGUAUUGCACAAUGGGCGGAAGCCUGAUGCAGCAACGCCGCGUGCGGGAUGACGGCCUUCGGGUUGUAAACCGCUUUCGCCUGUGACGAAGCGUGAGUGACGGUAAUGGGUAAAGAAGCACCGGCUAACUACGUG
This 468-nucleotide ribosomal RNA is filed under the name uncultured bacterium. RNAcentral's name for it is "partial 16S ribosomal RNA". It matches the Rfam family "Bacterial small subunit ribosomal RNA", at positions 28 to 507 of the family's 1533-position model. The record is from RNAcentral.